RNAcentral lists this ribosomal RNA (253 nucleotides) under uncultured bacterium. RNAcentral describes it as "partial 16S ribosomal RNA". It matches the Rfam family "Bacterial small subunit ribosomal RNA", at positions 524 to 776 of the family's 1533-position model. The record is from RNAcentral.
UACGAAGGGGGCUAGCGUUGCUCGGAAUGACUGGGCGUAAAGGGCGCGUAGGCGGAUGGCACAGUCAGAUGUGAAAUUCCCGGGCUUAACCUGGGGGCUGCAUUUGAUACGUGUGAUCUAGAGUGAGGAAGAGGGUCGUGGAAUUCCCAGUGUAGAGGUGAAAUUCGUAGAUAUUGGGAAGAACACCAGUGGCGAAGGCGGCUCACUGGCCCGGUACUGACGCUGAGGUGCGAAAGCGUGGGGAGCAAACAGG